CAUUUUUAGUUAGUACUGUUAAACUACUGUAUGUUUUGUCACCAUAGAUUUGUAGUAAAUGGUAAAUAUUCAUCUUUAAAACUACCUACUGAUUUAUGAAAAUCCGCCCCCCCACCUGGCCACCUCGUUUGGAAGCGACCCACAGUUGAACUGAUUCCCCACAGCCCCCCCCCCCUCCCUUCUUCAUACAUUUCCAGCAGGAGCGUGUGCAGCUGCACCUAGUGGCGCCAAUUCGCUACAUGGCGGUGCUGUCGGAAUUUUUAUUUUUUCAUCUAGCACGCAACCGUCACCCUCUUGAAGACGAUCCAGCUCAGUUUUGAGCAUGCGGAAACGUGGGGGUGCUCCGUGCUCACCUCUCAGCCAGCACCCUUCACCCCGCGCCCCCUCCCUUCUCCUUCUUCAUACACAUUUGCGUCUACUUCUCAAAGACAGGAGAGAGAGUGCAGCUGCGGGACGGGGGCAUUGCCAGCUUACAGGCUGUUACAAACUCUGUGACAUACGUAAACCAAUAGUGGUGCAUAAAUUAUUUUACAAGGGCUGAGCCUCCGGCGCCGCCCCCCUUCAUUUCGCACCCCGGGCCACCGCCUGUAUUGCCUCAAACCGCUACUGCUGAAGACCACAGUUUGAUUCCAGGAAAUGUUUAGAAAAAAAACAACAAGCAUCAGCUGAUAGUUAUUGACUUGAUGAAGAAGAGUCCUCCAUGUUGUUGAUCCAACAAUGAUGAAGCUUUGGAAACAGCAGAGUGAUGAGAGUUUGCAGAGAAAGAAGAAGAUCUUCUCCAAACAUUCAGAAACAAACAGUCAAGUUAGUGAAGACAAAGUUCCAGAAACAAACUCACUUCAGUUUCUGCAAAGAGAUGAAGAGGAAGAAGAAGAAGAGUCUCCACUCACCGUGUCAACGCAGCUGCAGCACAGAUCACUGACCCACAACCAGGAAGAGUCCACCUGGUAGGAGGCGGGGCAGCACAGGUGGGCGGGGCAGCACAGGUGGGCGGGCAGCAGGUGGAGCCGCUGAAGUGGAAUUAUAGGCCGCCUUCACACUGCAUGGUUCAAGUGACCCAAUUCCGAUCUUUUCCUCUCACCUGGCACAGAUCAGAUAUGAUCGGUGAACGUGUAAGCAGGACAAAAGCGCAUGGACUCUGUUUUUUCUCAGAUCGGAUACAGGCCUCUCUCAUAUGUGGAAAUAAAUCGGAUACGAAUCGGAUACGUGCAUUUGCGUGUGCCAUGUAAGCAGACAGAUCGGAUAUUCCCCAGUAAAUGCGAGUCGUACCUCAGUGACAUCAACUCAGGACACCACCAACUGAGAUCACAUGACUUAUUAAAGUGCUUUUGUGCGCUGAUUUUGCUGUCAGCGUGUUACCUUUAAGCCUCAGGCUUAAGACCGUAGUUGGAAACCGCUGUUAUGUCCGGUCCGGUCCCGGUCGG
This 1424-nucleotide long non-coding RNA is filed under the name Oryzias sinensis (Chinese medaka). RNAcentral describes it as "lncRNA (ENSOSIG00000015467.1)". The record is from RNAcentral. Lineage: Eukaryota; Metazoa; Chordata; Actinopteri; Beloniformes; Adrianichthyidae.